AAAAGUUGUGAUCACAUGUAAUGCUGUGCGGAGAGGGGCCAAAGUCAUCUAUCUCAAAGAUAUUGUUGAUAAUGCGUUGGUCGAGGCGAAUAAAAAUGGGGUUCCUGUAGGUUUGUGUUUGACUUAUGAAAACAAUUCAGCCAUGAAGAGAGAAGCGACAAAAUGGCAAGAUGGAAGGGAUAUUUGGUGGCAGGACGUUGUCAGAAAGUACUCG
Molecule: unclassified non-coding RNA, 214 nt
Filed under: Hevea brasiliensis (rubber tree)
Lineage: Eukaryota; Viridiplantae; Streptophyta; Magnoliopsida; Malpighiales; Euphorbiaceae
Source: RNAcentral